AGCAGCCGCGGUAAUUCCAGCUCCAAUAGCGUAUAUUAAAGUUGUUGCAGUUAAAAAGCUCGUAGUUGAAUUUCGGGACCAAUAUGUUGGUCGUGCCUCGGUACGCACUGGCAUUAUUGGUUUCUCCCUUCUGACGAACUACGAUGCCAUUAAUUUGGUGUCGUAGGGAAUCAGGACUGUUACUUUGAAAAAAUUAGAGUGUUUAAAGCAGGCUCGCGCUUGAAUACAUUAGCAUGGAAUAAUGAAAUAGGACGUUUGAUUCUAUUUUGUUGGUUUCUAGGAUCGACGUAAUGAUUAAUAGGGAUAGUUGGGGGCAUUAGUAUUCAAUUGUCAGAGGUGAAAUUCUUGGAUUUAUUGAAGACUAACUACUGCGAAAGCAUUUGCCAAGGAUGUUUUCAUUAAUCAAGAACGAAAGUUAGGGGAUCGAAGACGAUCAGAUACCGUCGUAGUCUUAACCAUAAACUAUGCCGACUAGGGAUCGGAUGAUGUUAAUUUUUUAAUGACUCAUUCGGCGCCUUAC
RNAcentral lists this small RNA (520 nucleotides) under uncultured Entrophospora. Its description in RNAcentral is "SSU rRNA". It matches the Rfam family "Eukaryotic small subunit ribosomal RNA", at positions 569 to 1091 of the family's 1831-position model. Lineage: Eukaryota; Fungi; Glomeromycota; Glomeromycetes; Entrophosporales; Entrophosporaceae. The record is from RNAcentral.